UGAGGAAAUGUCCUUCCUGAGAUACCGUAGGCUCAGGCAGACCUUGGUACCUCCUACUUCCUGGUUCACCCAUUAGAAAGGGUAUAAAAGCUGCACAUAAUGAAGCUGCUGUCACCACGCUUGUCCCUUUCUGUGUUGGAGUCUGGCUGGAGAAUCCAAUGAGCUGCUUGUCAGGGAGGCCCAAACCAUGUGUGAGCCGGACCAGGGGUGUUUGAGGCUGUCGACAGCGUAGCAUCCCAGAUGGUGGGUCUGGUGACUGGGCCUUUCAUCUGCUCAUCCCAUUGCCUGUUGUGUUUGUCUGCAUUUUCUUUUAACAUCGCAUGCCUCGAUUUUAUAUUGUUUGUGUGGAGAAACUAAGUCGGUGAGCGCCCUGUGCCAGAGCCUGUCCCCGUUCUCACCCCGGUGCGGCCUAGUCAUCGGUAGCACUCAAUUUGUUUGUAGAGGCGCAUUUUGUAAUUCCUACAGCUGAUGGAAAUUGGUUUCAUUGUUUUGUAUUCUUACUAUAUUUUAACUAAAUGUUAAUCUGGGGGAACCCUUUUGCCUCAGUCUGACUUCAGUCACCUGUUGAUCUGUGGUUGUUGGAUAAUUUAUGAGGAAAUGUUUAACCCUGUCCUACCGGUGGUUACAAAUGUCUUCCAGUUGCUCAACUUCUCAUGAUAUGAUCUACAAACUAUGCAUCAGCUAAAACUAAUGCAGUCUAAUACAACAGCCCUACAACUUUCUCCCUCAUUCUCUUGUAUCGGAAGUCGACAGCCCAAAUAGAAUUCGGCCAAUGGUACCCCUAGACGGGAUUUACUCACAUGUUGAACUUUACUAAUUGCUUGUGAUCUCUUCUCAGACUGCUAUGGCUGAUUCCACACACAGAAUCAAGAUUAACAUUGGCUAAAACUUCCAAAUGGCUUGCCAAAGUCACUAGAUAUCUUCACUGCAAGAUGAAGACAACCUUUAGGUUAAAGGGCAACCUGUCACUUCAAUACAUGGACCAAGAGUUUGGCAAUUACUUUUUAAUCUCAACUCUACCACUGAAUUUCAGGGACAAGUAGGAGGCCAAAGGGGUUAGUUGACGUGUAAAAUGUUUGCCCUACCUCUGUGGAUUGCCCGUGAGAAAUUGCGUAACCCGGUUUUAUAAAUUGUGGCAGAUAAUUUUUUUAAAUAUUGUCAUUUACUCAUUAUGCGUUGUGCAAGAAACCUGGUGGAGACCGUGGAGCCAUGAGUGCAAACAAAAGGUAUGACUGACUUGUGUUGUUAACAAGUACACUACUAAAGAGCCACUGCUCAUAUAUUUAACUGCAAGCAUUUUUCAUGAUUUUCAGUUUCAAUUGCUUGGUGAUUGAUGUUUGUUCCAUAGUGUAAGUGAAUCGUAUGUGCAUCUGUACCCUCUAAAAAUGCACUUUAAAUACACAUUUCUGUGGCAGUAAUAACUGCCAUUUUAAAUUGGUAAUUAAAGAGCAAUUUUUCAUUAACUGAACCGGAGUUUGUUGCACAAUAUAUCACAAGUGGGUGUUUUCAAAAUAUCUUUAUUCAUUUGAAAUAGUUGCUUAAAUAUUUCUCCUGCACAGAUGUUUUAAACUAGAGACAAAAAAUAGAAGUCAACCUCAUAGUGCUGUACACUUCAGUGUGACCCCAACACUGUAGGUUAAGACCUUAUGUUUACUGGCUUAGUGUUGCAAUGUACUAAUUUGACAGUCAAAUUUACGGUGUACCUGGAAUGUUAUUUUGACAGUGAAUUAAUAAAAUGUCAAUGUAUUCUAGAGUCUUGUAAGACACAACUGCAAUUGCUGAUUAUGGGCGGUCGACCUCAACUGACAGAACCGUCCAGGUCAAAGGAGGCUCAUGGAUCUUGGCGGGAAGAUGGGCGAAGCCUGGGUUCUUAAAGGACGGUCCAGAGAAGACAACAGGCUCCUGCCUUGGAUGCCCAGAAGUGGUCAAGCAGUUUCAGCCUCCUGUGACGGUGGAAAUUACCAGCAGCCUUUAGUGAUUUGAGUGAACGGACGGUCCAGAGAAGAAUUCCGCCUCAGGCUGGCCAAGUGACUUCAGCCUCCUGUGAAAAUUGCCAACUGAAUGAGAGGACGAUUCAGAGAACACAACAGGCUCCUGCUUCAGGGUCAAGCAGCUUUAGCCUCCUGUGGAAAUUGCCUUGUGCUCCUGCCAACUUGGCGAUUUGAGUAACAGGUAA
Non-coding RNA from Gasterosteus aculeatus aculeatus (three-spined stickleback), 2176 nucleotides. NCBI's taxonomy places the organism in Eukaryota, Metazoa, Chordata, Actinopteri, Perciformes, Gasterosteidae. The record is from RefSeq and is a predicted model, not a curated record.